RNAcentral lists this non-coding RNA (102 nucleotides) under Sporosarcina sp. RNAcentral describes it as "Guanine sequence". It matches the Rfam family "Purine riboswitch aptamer". Rfam says of the family: Riboswitches are metabolite binding domains within certain messenger RNAs that serve as precision sensors for their corresponding targets. Lineage: Bacteria; Bacillati; Bacillota; Bacilli; Caryophanales; Caryophanaceae. The record is from RNAcentral.
AGAUAAACAACAAAAUAUGAUCGUAUAACGCUGGGAAUAAGGCCUGGAAGUCUCUACCGAAACACCGUAAAUGUUUCGACUACGAUCCGUAAUAGAAGAUUA